GCUCCAUAUUGUAUUCAUGGAGAUCCAUUGUAAAUUGGAAAAUUGACAGAAUGUCAGAAAACCAAAUACUUGAUCUAAUGAAGCAUAUGACUAUGUACGCAAUGGCAUGCAAGGUUAGCGGAAAUCAAUACCAAGAGAUAGCCAAAGCCAUUAUUUGUGGAUUUACAGGAUGGCUAAGGCGAUGGUGGGAUUUCCUUAUGGAAGAAAAU
RNAcentral lists this long non-coding RNA (209 nucleotides) under Amborella trichopoda. RNAcentral's name for it is "long non-coding RNA (ATRI_LNC001587)". Lineage: Eukaryota; Viridiplantae; Streptophyta; Magnoliopsida; Amborellales; Amborellaceae. The record is from RNAcentral.